AGAUUGAACGCUGGCGGCAGGCCUAACACAUGCAAGUCGAGCGGUAGAGAGGUGCUUGCACCUCUUGAGAGCGGCGGACGGGUGAGUAAUGCCUAGGAAUCUGCCUAGGUGGUGGGGGAUAACGUUCGGAAACGGACGCUAAUACCGCAUACGUCCUACGGGAGAAAGCGGGGGACCUUCGGGCCUCGCGCCAUUAGAUGAGCCUAGGUCGGAUUAGCUAGUUGGUGAGGUAAUGGCUCACCAAGGCGACGAUCCGUAACUGGUCUGAGAGGAUGAUCAGUCACACUGGAACUGAGACACGGUCCAGACUCCUACGGGAGCAGCAGUGGGGAAUA
Molecule: ribosomal RNA, 335 nt
Filed under: uncultured soil bacterium
Lineage: Bacteria
Description: bacterial SSU rRNA
Rfam family: Bacterial small subunit ribosomal RNA
Source: RNAcentral